UGGCGCAGUGGUUAAGGGCGCUGUACUGCAGCGCCAGCUGUGCCACCAGAGACUCUGGGUUUGCGACCAGGCUCUGCCGUAACCGGCCGCGACCGGGAGGUCCGUGGGGCGAUGCACAAUUGGCCUAACGUCGUCCGGGCUAGGGAGGGUUUGGCCGCUGCCAACUUCCUCCCAGCAGCACCAGCAACGCAAGCUAAGCUUUCAAAAGGAGACGACAUCCUGUCUAGUUACGUCUGAUUGUCCAACAACCUGCCCACCUCAUCCCUCCUAUGUCUGACCACUGGCUGCUUUCCCUACGACUUCAAGACAGUCAGUUGGACCCCUCCUCAAGAAACAAACACUUCUCAAACAGGAUCUAGGGGUUCUGCCCUGAGCAGCCUGCCGUAUACCUUCCCCACACCUUGAUCCACCUGAUGUCCUCCAUGACCACCCACCCUCCAUGAUGCCUCUUUCCUUACAUUAUCUACAGCAGUGGUCACCGACCUUUUCUGAGUCAAGAUCACUUUGUUAGUCAAAAUGCAAGUUGAGAUCUACCGCUCAGAUUUUUGUUAAACAUGACUUAAGCGUAAGCCUAUGCAACAUUAACCAAUUAAAAAACAGUUAUGUAGCAAUGAGGUUUGUGCAGUAGGCUAUAAGCCCAAUAUAUUAGUCCAUGCUUGAAUUGCCCUGCCAAUGUUGUUCUUCUCAGACCAUUUUCAAAUUAUAUUUUACAAUUGUAGGUAUAUAAUCACACUGGUAAUUGAUCAUUUGUUGUAUUACUUUUCAUGCACAGCUUAAUAAUUAGCUUUUUGUUCUGGACUGAUGGCCUGCAUCUGAUGGUCAGUCUGAGGGGAGGGAGCAGCGGUCGGGCUGCCUUUCACCCGACUCACCGUCCCUCUGCUGAGAAAAGGGGACACAGUCUUCCAGCUGAUGGCGAAACUGAAGUCGCACUGUAUUUUUGCCUCAUGCACCAAUUCAUGUUACUCCUAUGACCAGAGAAAGUGAAAUAUUCCUUGAUAUUAAAAAGGGCAAGCCGCUAAUAAUAACGCAACUUUGCUAUACUCCUUCAUUGCAGUGGCAGUGCUGGUAGUAGCGAGAAUGUAACUAGGGGGAACACACAUUUAUGGCUUAUAAAAGUGUUGACAGUGCCGAAUAACAACUUAAACAUGAUGUUACUCAUAAAAACAUCCAGGUCUUUGCUGUAUUUGUUGAGUUUCUCUAGUCAUGGUUUUAAAUGUUUUGUAAUCUCAAAGAAUAAACUUCGCUGUGCGUUCAA
Long non-coding RNA from Oncorhynchus nerka (sockeye salmon), 1255 nucleotides. RefSeq lists it as uncharacterized. The transcript is spliced from 4 exons. The record is from RefSeq and is a predicted model, not a curated record. Lineage: Eukaryota; Metazoa; Chordata; Actinopteri; Salmoniformes; Salmonidae.